GAUGAACGCUGGCGGCGUGCCUAAUACAUGCAAGUCGAGCGAACGGACGAGAAGCUUGCUUCUCUGAUGUUAGCGGCGGACGGGUGAGUAACACGUGGGUAACCUACCUAUAAGACUGGGAUAACUUCGGGAAACCGUAGCUAAUACCGGAUAAUAUUUUGAACCGCAUGGUUCAAAAGUGAAAGACGGUCUUGCUGUCACUUAUAGAUGGAUCCGCGCUGCAUUAGCUAGUUGGUAAGGUAACGGCUUACCAAGGCAACGAUGCAUAGCCGACCUGAGAGGGUGACCGCCCACACUGGAACGGAGCCACGGCCCAGACCCCUACGGGAGGCACGAGUGGGGAAUAUCCGGAAAUGGCCGAAAGCCUGAGGGAGCAACGCCGCGUGGGGGAUGAAGGUCUUCGGAUCUAAAAACUUUUUUAUUGGGAAAAAAAAGUAGUAAAAGAAUCUCUCCAUUUCUGGACGGUACCAAAUCAAAAGCCCACGGCUAAGUUCGUC
This 497-nucleotide ribosomal RNA is filed under the name uncultured bacterium. RNAcentral describes it as "partial 16S ribosomal RNA". It matches the Rfam family "Bacterial small subunit ribosomal RNA", at positions 28 to 507 of the family's 1533-position model. The record is from RNAcentral.